CCCCGGGCNCAACCUGGGAACUGCGUUCUGAACUGGGUGACUAGAGUGUGUCAGAGGGAGNUAGAAUUCCACGUGUAGCAGUGAAAUGCGUAGAGAUGUGGAGGAAUACCGAUGGCGAAGGCAGCCUCCUGGGAUAACACUGACGUUCAUGCCCGAAAGCGUGGGUAGCAAACAGGAUUAGAUACCCUGGUAGUCCACGCCCUAAACGAUGUCGAUUAGCUGUUGGGCAGCAUGACUGCUUAGUAGCGAAGCUAACGCGUGAAAUCGACCGCCUGGGGAGUACGGUCGCAAGAUUAAAACUCAAAGGAAUUGACGGGGACCCGCACAAGCGGUGGAUGAUGUGGAUUAAUUCGAUGCAACGCGAAGAACCUUACCUGGUCUUGACAUGUACGGAACCCUUCAGAGACGGAGGGGUGCCUUCGGGAGCCGUAACACAGGUGCUGCAUGGCUGUCGUCAGCUCGUGUCGUGAGAUGUUGGGUUAAGUNNNNCAACGAGCGCAACCCUUGUCAUUAGUUGCCAUCAUUAAGUUGGGCACUCUAACGAGACUGCCGGUGACAAGCCGGAGGAAGGUGGGGAUGACGUCAAGUCCUCAUGGCCCUUAUGACCAGGGCUUCACACGUCAUACAAUGGUCGGUACAGAGGGUAGCCAAGCCGCGAGGCGGAGCCAAUCUCACAAAACCGAUCGUAGUCCGGAUUGCACUCUGCAACU
RNAcentral lists this ribosomal RNA (710 nucleotides) under uncultured bacterium. RNAcentral describes it as "bacterial SSU rRNA". It matches the Rfam family "Bacterial small subunit ribosomal RNA", at positions 601 to 1312 of the family's 1533-position model. The record is from RNAcentral.